RNAcentral lists this ribosomal RNA (459 nucleotides) under uncultured bacterium. RNAcentral's name for it is "partial 16S ribosomal RNA". It matches the Rfam family "Bacterial small subunit ribosomal RNA", at positions 338 to 795 of the family's 1533-position model. The record is from RNAcentral.
CCUACGGGUGGCAGCAGUGAGGAAUAUUGGUCAAUGGGCGCGAGCCUGAACCAGCCAAGUAGCGUGAAGGAUGACUGCCCUACGGGUUGUACACUUCUUUUAUAAAGGAAUAAAGUGAGGCACGUGUGCCUUUUGUAUGUACUUUAUGCAUAAGGAUCGGCUAACUCCGUGCCAGCAGCCGCGGUAAUACGGAGGAUACGAGCGUUAUCCGGAUUUAUUGGGUUUAAAGGGAGCGUAGAUGGGUUGUUAAGUCAGAUGUGAAAGUUUGCGGCUCAACCGUAAAAUUGCAAUUGAUACUGGCAGUCUUGAGUACAGUUGAGGUAGGCGGAAUUCGUGGUGUAGCGGUGAAAUGCGUAGAUAUCACGAAGAACUCCGAUUGCGAAGGCAGCUUACUAAACUGCCACUGACAUUGAUGCUCGAAAGUGUGGGUAUCAAACAGGAUUAGAGACCCGGGUAGUC